RNAcentral lists this small nuclear RNA (107 nucleotides) under Sus scrofa (pig). The record is from RNAcentral. Lineage: Eukaryota; Metazoa; Chordata; Mammalia; Artiodactyla; Suidae.
GUGCUCACUUCGGGAGCACAUAUACUAAAAUUGGAAUGAUACAGAGAAGAUUAGCAUGGCUUCUGUGCAAGGAUGACCCACAAAUUUGUGAAGCAGUCCAUAUUUUU